RNAcentral lists this ribosomal RNA (239 nucleotides) under uncultured bacterium. RNAcentral describes it as "partial 16S ribosomal RNA". It matches the Rfam family "Bacterial small subunit ribosomal RNA", at positions 95 to 334 of the family's 1533-position model. The record is from RNAcentral.
CCGGCGCACGGGUGAGUAACACGUAUCCAACCUGCCGUCUACUCUUGGACAGCCUUCUGAAAGGAAGAUUAAUACAAGAUGGCAUCAUGAGUCCGCAUGUUCACAUGAUUAAAGGUAUUCCGGUAGACGAUGGGGAUGCGUUCCAUUAGAUAGUAGGCGGGGUAACGGCCCACCUAGUCUUCGAUGGGUAGGGGUUCUGAGAGGAAGGUCCCCCACAUUGGAACUGAGACACGGUCCAA